Molecule: transfer RNA, 76 nt
Filed under: Roseibium aggregatum
Lineage: Bacteria; Pseudomonadati; Pseudomonadota; Alphaproteobacteria; Hyphomicrobiales; Stappiaceae
Also listed under: 24 other names
Description: tRNA-Ala
Rfam family: tRNA
About the family: Transfer RNA (tRNA) molecules are approximately 80 nucleotides in length. Their secondary structure includes four short double-helical elements and three loops (D, anti-codon, and T loops). Further hydrogen bonds mediate the characteristic L-shaped molecular structure. tRNAs have two regions of fundamental functional importance: the anti-codon, which is responsible for specific mRNA codon recognition, and the 3' end, to which the tRNAs corresponding amino acid is attached (by aminoacyl-tRNA synthetases). tRNAs cope with the degeneracy of the genetic code in two manners: having more than one tRNA (with a specific anti-codon) for a particular amino acid; and 'wobble' base-pairing, i.e. permitting non-standard base-pairing at the 3rd anti-codon position.
Source: RNAcentral
GGGGCCAUAGCUCAGUUGGGAGAGCGCUACAAUGGCAUUGUAGAGGUCAGGGGUUCGAUUCCCCUUGGCUCCACCA